UGAAUCAUCAAAUCUUUGAACGCAAAUUGCACUCUCUUCGGAGAGUAUGCCUGUUUGAGGGUCAGCCUAAAAAAAAAAAUCGACAUAGUCUCUGUUUCGCUGUUACAUUCUUCGGAAAUUGGGUCAUCUUAAACCUUUUUGUCUUAAUCUUCUUAAAAUUUUCUUUACGAUUCCACGUACGUUCCUAAGAUUUAUUUCUUUUAUGUUUAAGUUAUCGAUCUUUAUCAGACCUAGCC
Molecule: unclassified non-coding RNA, 236 nt
Filed under: Glomus sp.
Lineage: Eukaryota; Fungi; Glomeromycota; Glomeromycetes; Glomerales; Glomeraceae
Description: partial contains 5.8S ribosomal RNA and internal transcribed spacer 2
Rfam family: 5.8S ribosomal RNA (bases 1-64)
Source: RNAcentral